Poecilia latipinna (sailfin molly) is the source of this 1761-nucleotide long non-coding RNA. RefSeq lists it as uncharacterized. NCBI's taxonomy places the organism in Eukaryota, Metazoa, Chordata, Actinopteri, Cyprinodontiformes, Poeciliidae. The record is from RefSeq and is a predicted model, not a curated record. The transcript is spliced from 3 exons.
AAAUUGCUACAAUGAAAACAAUUGAUAUACCUCAGCUUUGAGGAAAAAAAAAUCAGGGUUCCAUCAAAAUAUAAGCAGUAAUAAUGUCAAUCCUACAAUAUCACCAUGCUUUUUGGUAGUUAAUUGCAUAUAUAGCAUUGCACACAUAUGCAGGCGAUUCAUUAAUAACCUCUAAAAACGUUUUUAAAACAUUUGACAUGCAAUUAAUUUGAUAUGUGGAAGAAGAUGCAUAAUUUUUAUCCCACUUCUAAAAAAAAAAAACUCAAAUAGAUGAUCUGGUUAUUAAACUGUGUAUGAACAGAAUUGUGCAGGGGAAAAAAUGUUUACAUUAAGUGUAUUUUUCUUUCUUUAUUUUGACAGCAGACCUGUUCAGAUGCUGGCUGUGACUCUUUCUGCUUCAAGUCUCCCUGAAAACCACAAGAAGAGCUCCCUGUGGAUUUGACAGGAAUCACAGAGACAACAGAGACCACAGAGACCCGGUCUGGCUCCCACAACAACACCACGAGUUACAGCAUACCGGCAGAUAAAUAAAAGAAUGAACCAGCACCAAAAGGAAUAUCAUUACUGAGAAAGAGAGAGAAAAAGAGAGAGAACAUGCAAAACAAGCAAAAAGCCCCAGUCGACAAGAACCUUCCUGCUCUAAUUUGCUGGCAGCAUCCAUACUCGCCUCUGCUCAAACUUUGGAUGGAAUCUAAGUGAUGAUCAUGUCACUGUUGUAAUCUUUGAGAGGAAAGUGUGAACUUUAAUCAAAUACAGAGUCUCUCUGCAGCAUCUGUCUGAACUCCUUGGGAAUACUGUACAACAUGCUCUGUUUUUUUUUUGUUUUUUUGUUUUUUUUUGUAUAGUCUUGAUGUGGCCAAAGCUCAGCUGUUUUUAGCCCCUUGUGGCUGCUGCUUGUAGCACAGCUUCAAAGGAAAACUGGAAGCCUACAGGGAUUUCCCUCUGGCUUUCCCACCAUCUGCACCGGCCUGCGUGGAAUUUGAUGCAAGCGGGUGCCUUGGAACCUCAAACAUCGUUCAUUAUGUGUGUGUAUAUAAAGGCUGCUGCUCGGGGUUUCAGUCAGCAAUGCCAAUGUUUCAACUUGUGUUUGCAAUGAUCAGGUAUAAUAUGAGCUGUGUCUCUUUGAGAACCAUCUACUUUAAUGUGUGUGUUUGUGUGUUAUGCAAGAAGUUGUGCAUAGCGGCAUCUUGGCUACCUGUAAUGUGUGUCUUUUCCUGGCCUUCAAGAGAUUGGUCUUGAAAGCUAUUUCAAGUCAGCAAAGAAUCUGACAUGCUGUGUUUUGUAGGAAAAGAUAUGUGGGCUGAAAAUUGGGUCAGAUAGAUGAGUCUGCUGUUAAUUUCCACCUGAUCUGACUAUGGGCCCAUCUGCAGACCAUGACAAGACGAAAGCCUUUCUUCUAAAGCCUUCAAAGUCCUUUAUUGCAUUUAACAUUUUUGUCACAUCAAGGUUUACUUCACUGAGUCUGUAUUCAAAGCAAAAAAGCAAGAAAAUAUGUUUUUUUUUCUGUUUAAGACAGUGUUUAUUUUCAAGCAGUCUAGAUCAGGUUGUUCAGAUCUCACGCAAUGGUGAUUGUGCUGCAGUUGAUUUUUGUUACAGCAGCAGAACUACAUGGCUGCUCUCUGACAUCAGCGCUAAAGAUAACCUCAGCCGAAAGUUUUCUCAUGCACAUUUUUUAUUCGUCAGUAUGCCAUGGAAAUUUGCUAUUUAUAUCAUUUGAAAAGAUGUUGUUUUUUCAGAGUGUAAUAAACAAGUUUUGCUCAA